Molecule: ribosomal RNA, 2915 nt
Filed under: Vibrio parahaemolyticus
Lineage: Bacteria; Pseudomonadati; Pseudomonadota; Gammaproteobacteria; Vibrionales; Vibrionaceae
Description: bacterial LSU rRNA
Rfam family: Bacterial large subunit ribosomal RNA
Source: RNAcentral
GUUGUAUGGUUAAGUGACUAAGCGUACACGGUGGAUGCCUUGGCAGUCAGAGGCGAUGAAAGACGUAGUAACUUGCGAUAAGCCCAGAUUAGGUAGUAACAACCAUUUGAGUCUGGGAUUUCUGAAUGGGGAAACCCACUUACAUAAGUAAGUAUCAUUAACUGAAUACAUAGGUUAAUGAGGCGAACCGGGGGAACUGAAACAUCUAAGUACCCCGAGGAAAAGAAAUCAACCGAGAUUCCGAAAGUAGCGGCGAGCGAAAUUGGACUAGCCCUUAAGCUUUACACGCGUUAGACGAACGGUCUGGAAAGUCCGACGAUACAGGGUGAUAGUCCCGUAGUUGACGACGUGUGUUCAGUGAAAUCGAGUAGGGCGGGACACGUGAUAUCCUGUCUGAAUAUGGGGGGACCAUCCUCCAAGGCUAAAUACUACUGACUGACCGAUAGUGAACCAGUACCGUGAGGGAAAGGCGAAAAGAACCCCUGUGAGGGGAGUGAAAUAGAACCUGAAACCGUGUACGUACAAGCAGUAGGAGCAGGCUUGUCCUGUGACUGCGUACCUUUUGUAUAAUGGGUCAGCGACUUAUAUUCAGUGGCAAGGUUAACCAUCUAGGGGAGCCGUAGGGAAACCGAGUCUUAACUGGGCGUUCAGUCUCUGGAUAUAGACCCGAAACCAGGUGAUCUAGCCAUGGGCAGGUUGAAGGUUGAGUAACAUCAACUGGAGGACCGAACCGACUAAUGUUGAAAAAUUAGCGGAUGACUUGUGGCUAGGGGUGAAAGGCCAAUCAAACCUGGAGAUAGCUGGUUCUCCCCGAAAGCUAUUUAGGUAGCGCCUCGGACGAAUACUACUGGGGGUAGAGCACUGUUAAGGCUAGGGGGUCAUCCCGACUUACCAACCCUUUGCAAACUCCGAAUACCAGUAAGUACUAUCCGGGAGACACACGGCGGGUGCUAACGUCCGUCGUGGAGAGGGAAACAACCCAGACCGCCAGCUAAGGUCCCAAAUUACUACUAAGUGGGAAACGAUGUGGGAAGGCUCAGACAGCCAGGAUGUUGGCUUAGAAGCAGCCAUCAUUUAAAGAAAGCGUAAUAGCUCACUGGUCGAGUCGGCCUGCGCGGAAGAUGUAACGGGGCUAAGUAGUAAACCGAAGCUGCGGCAAUAUACUUUUGUAUAUUGGGUAGGGGAGCGUUCUGUAAGCGGUUGAAGGUGUGUGGUAACGCAUGCUGGACGUAUCAGAAGUGCGAAUGCUGACAUGAGUAACGAUAAAGGGGGUGAAAAACCUCCUCGCCGGAAGACCAAGGGUUCCUGUCCAACGUUAAUCGGGGCAGGGUAAGUCGACCCCUAAGGCGAGGCCGAAAGGCGUAGUCGAUGGGAAACGGGUUAAUAUUCCCGUACUUCUUACAAUUGCGAUGGGGGGACGGAGAAGGCUAGGUGGGCCUGGCGACGGUUGUCCAGGUUCAAGUGCGUAGGCUUAAGAGUUAGGUAAAUCCGGCUCUUUCUAAGGCUGAGACACGACGUCGAGCACCUACGGGUGUGAAGUCAUUGAUGCCAUGCUUCCAGGAAAAGCCUCUAAGCUUCAGAUUGUAAGGAAUCGUACCCCAAACCGACACAGGUGGUCGGGUAGAGAAUACCAAGGCGCUUGAGAGAACUCGGGUGAAGGAACUAGGCAAAAUGGUACCGUAACUUCGGGAGAAGGUACGCUCUCGACGGUGAAGUCCCUCGCGGAUGGAGCUAUUGAGAGUCGCAGAUACCAGGUGGCUGCAACUGUUUAUUAAAAACACAGCACUGUGCAAAAUCGUAAGAUGACGUAUACGGUGUGACGCCUGCCCGGUGCCGGAAGGUUAAUUGAUGGGGUUAGACUUCGGUCGAAGCUCUUGAUCGAAGCCCCGGUAAACGGCGGCCGUAACUAUAACGGUCCUAAGGUAGCGAAAUUCCUUGUCGGGUAAGUUCCGACCUGCACGAAUGGCGUAAUGAUGGCCACGCUGUCUCCACCCGAGACUCAGUGAAAUUGAAAUCGCUGUGAAGAUGCAGUGUACCCGCGGCUAGACGGAAAGACCCCGUGAACCUUUACUACAGCUUGGCACUGAACAUUGACCCUACAUGUGUAGGAUAGGUGGGAGGCUUUGAAGCACGUACGCCAGUAUGUGUGGAGCCGUCCUUGAAAUACCACCCUUGUAGUGUUGAUGUUCUAACGUCGACCCCUAAUCGGGGUUGCGGACAGUGCCUGGUGGGUAGUUUGACUGGGGCGGUCUCCUCCCAAAGAGUAACGGAGGAGCACGAAGGUGGGCUAAUCACGGUUGGACAUCGUGAGGUUAGUGCAAUGGCAUAAGCCCGCUUGACUGCGAGAAUGACAAUUCGAGCAGGUGCGAAAGCAGGUCAUAGUGAUCCGGUGGUUCUGAAUGGAAGGGCCAUCGCUCAACGGAUAAAAGGUACUCCGGGGAUAACAGGCUGAUACCGCCCAAGAGUUCAUAUCGACGGCGGUGUUUGGCACCUCGAUGUCGGCUCAUCACAUCCUGGGGCUGAAGUCGGUCCCAAGGGUAUGGCUGUUCGCCAUUUAAAGUGGUACGCGAGCUGGGUUUAGAACGUCGUGAGACAGUUCGGUCCCUAUCUGCCGUGGGCGUUGGAAGAUUGAAGGGGGCUGCUCCUAGUACGAGAGGACCGGAGUGGACGAACCUCUGGUGUUCGGGUUGUGUCGCCAGACGCAUUGCCCGGUAGCUAAGUUCGGAAUCGAUAACCGCUGAAAGCAUCUAAGCGGGAAGCGAGCCCUGAGAUGAGUCUUCCCUGAUACUUUAAGUAUCCUAAAGGGUUGUCGGAGACUACGACGUUGAUAGGUCAGGUGUGUAAGUGCUGUGAGGCAUUGAGCUAACUGAUACUAAUUGCCCGUGAGGCUUAACCAUACAACACCCAAGGGGUUU